GUGUCUCAGUAACACACUAGCAGGGAUGUGAGAGGUGUGUUUGCCAUGGGACUAAGCAGGCUGAAGUCUCUCUCUACCAAACCGCAAGCCUUGUUUCACCCGUUCAGUGUUGGACGGUGACAGGGGCACGUUAACACCUUUCACUCUUUCGGGGCCCUUGAGCCUGUUUAAAUGACCACAGAAGUUCCCGCCCCCUGUGUGAGUGGCACGGGGGACUGAGCGUCUUUUCUCCUUUCUCCCCUCUAGGAUGUCAGAAGCCCCAUAGACGGGGUGUAGCUCCUCCCCCUGCACACGCCAUUAGUCUGGCCACAGGCUGAGACAACACAACUGUCCCAGGGCACAACUGCAACGUGGUGAAGGUGACAUGUGUGAAACAGGGAAGUUCCAGCAGCUGGAGGACACGUCUCCUGAUCUGGAAAUCAGUCUUGGUUAUUGGUGCCAAGAAAACCAGUGCUCUGAAGGAGACUGAGGAAAAUCAAAGUGUGGAGAGGAACAAUGACAGACCCCACAGGAGAGUGCUGGUUUGGUGCUUAACCACACGGCGAAGGAACGAGAGCCCCAAAUUCCCCCUGGUGCUUUGGGAGCCAGGUUCUGUCAAAUAAUAGCAGCAAUCCCACCAUAACACAGCAGCCUGAAAUCUCAGCUCUCCCCCUCCCCUCGCGCUAAAGAGAGAGAGGAGACCCAGGCAGCCAGUUUCUCUGGGACAGAAGACAAAGGACAGAGGCUUGUGGGAAGAUGAGAUCGGAUGCUUGGCUGGAAAGAGGGGGCAUCUGGACUGGGGAGAGAAAACAGCCAGAGCCCACAUGGAUGCAGGAGAGACCUAGCUGGACUGUGCAGA
This is a long non-coding RNA of Mauremys mutica (yellowpond turtle), 838 nucleotides long. RefSeq lists it as uncharacterized. The record is from RefSeq and is a predicted model, not a curated record. Lineage: Eukaryota; Metazoa; Chordata; Testudines; Geoemydidae. The transcript has 4 exons.